RNAcentral lists this ribosomal RNA (313 nucleotides) under uncultured bacterium. Its description in RNAcentral is "bacterial SSU rRNA". It matches the Rfam family "Bacterial small subunit ribosomal RNA", at positions 345 to 658 of the family's 1533-position model. The record is from RNAcentral.
CGAUUAGCAGUGGGGAAUCUUGCGCAAUGGCCUAACGGCUGACGCAGCGACGCCGCGUGAGGGAUGACGCUCUUCGGAGUGUAAACCCCUUUUGCCUGAGACGAAUUGUCAGCUUUAGCUGAUUUGACUGUAUCGGGUGAAUAAGCACCGGCUAACUCCGUGCCAGCAGCCGCGGUAAUACGGGGGGUGCGAGCGUUGUCCGGAAUCACUGGGCGUAAAGGGCGCGUCGGUGGCCUGAUAAGGGUGUGGUGAAAGUCCGGGGCUCAACCCCGGAUCUGCCGUGCCGACUGUUAGGCUAGAGUACUGUAGGGGC